This 332-nucleotide long non-coding RNA is filed under the name Bos taurus (domestic cattle). RNAcentral's name for it is "long non-coding RNA NONBTAT026963". The record is from RNAcentral. Lineage: Eukaryota; Metazoa; Chordata; Mammalia; Artiodactyla; Bovidae.
GCUGCUGCCACCACUGAACAUAAAAUGGAAAUGCGAAAUCAUGGAAAUGUGAAGACUUGUUUCAUUUUUGCGAUUAAAAUAGACAACUGAAAAAGACCUGAUUUUAAAACUCCACGGCUUGAGGCAUUUGAGUUUAAGAAACAGUCAGGUACAGAAGUAGUUUUGUUUUUUUUAAAGCAAAACAUUGGGAUUGGCUUUAGAAAUAAGUGGUCCUCAUUCUUGUCUUUUGCUGAAAAACACUGAGACAGGGUACCCCUAUCAGGCUUUUACACUCCCGUCUUUUGCUGAAAAAGACUGAGACAGGGUACCCCUAUCAGGCUUUUACACUCCCG